UGCCAGCAGCCGCGGUAAUACAGAGGGUGCGAGCGUUAAUCGGAAUUACUGGGCGUAAAGGGUGUGUAGGUGGUUUGCUAAGUCGGGCGUGAAAUCCCAGGGCUUAACCUUGGAACUGCGUUCGAAACUGGCAAACUAGAGUACAGUAGAGGGAAGUGGAAUUUCCGGUGUAGCGGUGAAAUGCGUAGAUAUCGGAAGGAACAUCAGUGGCGAAGGCGACUUCCUGGACUGAAACUGACACUGAGACACGAAAGCGUGGGGAGCGAACAGGAUUAGAUA
This 279-nucleotide ribosomal RNA is filed under the name uncultured bacterium. Its description in RNAcentral is "partial 16S ribosomal RNA". It matches the Rfam family "Bacterial small subunit ribosomal RNA", at positions 506 to 784 of the family's 1533-position model. The record is from RNAcentral.